This 620-nucleotide ribosomal RNA is filed under the name Bacillus subtilis. RNAcentral describes it as "bacterial SSU rRNA". It matches the Rfam family "Bacterial small subunit ribosomal RNA", at positions 887 to 1533 of the family's 1533-position model. Lineage: Bacteria; Bacillati; Bacillota; Bacilli; Caryophanales; Bacillaceae. The record is from RNAcentral.
CCCAAGACUGAAAACUCAAAGGAGUGGAGGGGGGCCCGCACACAGCUGUGGAGCAUGUGGUUUAAUUUGAAGCAACGCGAAGAACCUUACCAGGUCUUGACAUCCUCUGACAAUCCUAGAGAUAGGACGUCCCCUUUGGGGGCAGAGUGACAGGUGGUGCAUGGUUGUUGUCAGCUCGUGUCAUGAGAUGUUGGGUUAAGUCCCGCAACGAGCGCAACCCUUGAUCUUAGUUGCCAGCAUUCAGUUGGGCACUUUAAGGUGACUGCCGGUGACAAACCGGAGGAAGGUGGGGAUGAAGUCAAAUCAUCAUGCCCCUUAUGACCUGGGCUACACACGUGCUACAAUGGACAGAACAAAGGGCAGCGAAACCGCGAGGUUAAGCCAAUCCCACAAAUCUGUUUUCAGUUCGGAUCGCAGUCUGCAACUCGACUGCGUGAAGCUGGAAUCGCUUGUAAUCGCGGAUCAGCAUGCCGCGGUGAAUACGUUCCCGGGCCUUGUACACACCGCCCGUUACACCACGAGAGUUUUAACACCCGAAGUAGGCGAGGUAACCCUUUGGAUCCAGCCGCCGAAGGUGGACAGGGAUUCGGGAAUCUAUAAGAGGUCAACAGCCCUACCUC